This 305-nucleotide ribosomal RNA is filed under the name uncultured bacterium. RNAcentral describes it as "bacterial SSU rRNA". It matches the Rfam family "Bacterial small subunit ribosomal RNA", at positions 337 to 658 of the family's 1533-position model. The record is from RNAcentral.
GCCUACGGGGCGCAGCAGUGGGGAAUAUUGCACAAUGGGGGAAACCCUGAUGCAGCGACGCCGCGUGAGCGAAGAAGUAUUUCGGUAUGUAAAGCUCUAUCAGCAGGGAAGAAAAAUGACGGUACCUGAGUAAGAAGCACCGGCUAACUACGUGCCAGCAGCCGCGGUAAUACGUAGGGGGCAAGCGUUAUCCGGAUUUACUGGGUGUAAAGGGUGCGUAGGUGGCAGGGCAAGUCAGAUGUGAAAGCCCGGGGCUCAACCCCGGUACUGCAUUUGAAACGGUCCAGUUGGAGUGCAGGAGAGGU